Molecule: long non-coding RNA, 772 nt
Organism: Polyodon spathula (Mississippi paddlefish)
Lineage: Eukaryota; Metazoa; Chordata; Actinopteri; Acipenseriformes; Polyodontidae
Exons: 4
Source: RefSeq, a predicted model, not a curated record
UCUAUAAUAGGGCCUGCUGAACAUUUUAAAUACAUUUUGCGUAACUGAAUUGUCAGCAGUUUCACUAAGCUUCUGUUCCAGGAGUAUAUUGCACCACAAAACUUACAAGAAACACCUUUAGCACACAUGGAAGGCCAUAAAUUUUGCUCUGAGAAUUUCAGCAAUUUCAGAUCAAAUUAUCAAGUGCCUGUUUUAUAUUGACUAACAGGCUGUAACCAAAUCCUCUUGCAUUCCAGACAAUUUGCAUUGUCUUAUCAAACAGGUUAUUCAAGCUGGUUACUACAACAGUGCCAUUCGUCUUCACCUGCAAGAACGACACCUGUCUCUCUGCUCGUCAGCAGCUAUAUUAUUCAAGGAGGGUGAAAACACUCCAGCUUUACAAUAUUUUGAGCAUCCUACAACAAUCAGGAAAGGAAGGGAAGAAGCUCCAUUAAGAAUGGAAUGAGCUCACACUAGGGUUGAGACUCUUCUGAACUACUGUCCUGAAAAUAGUCCCCUUCUAUCUUCUAACAGCCUGAACAGUGAAACCAGACCUGCUGCUACUCUACAUCGCUGGAAUGAGGGCAUCGGCAGUUGCUCAUGUUGCUGUGACACUAGGCACACUCAUUCUGGUUUGGCUUGCUGUAAAUAUGGCUUUAAAACCUCAAGGAGAUGUUGUAGAGGACAGAUCUUAUAAAUGUGGACUGUCAAAAGCAUGUCCUCAAGGACAUUUUGCUUUUAAAAUUCAGACGGGAUCAGCCAAUAUUAUUGGACCAACUAUUUGUUUUGAAGA